AUGGAAGGCUCUUUUGCGUCCUGGUUUUCCGAGAGAAGUACAGGGAGUAAUUUUAAAGAUUCCUCUGGUACUUCUAAUGAUAAUGAGCCAUCUGGGGAGCAGGGCAAAGCAACAAACUUUCCACAGGGUUUUUUUUUUUUUCCUAAUCCAGGAAGUUGUUCCUUAAGGGAAAGGAUAUUUAGAAACAGUUCUUCCAGCCAGGACUUUAGAGUCCUGUUGCUGAGAUUUAAAAACAGCUGUUUUCUGUCUAUCAGAGUCACAGAGCUGGGAAGUAUCUGAGGUCCGAUUUGAACCCAGGACCUUCUGCCUCUAGGGCUGGCUCUCAAUCCGCUGAGCUACCCAGCUGUCCCUUAAGAUUAAAGGGAAGAAAAAGAAAAAACUGCUGAUUCCAAUUUAACUUAAGGAGAAAAGAGAAAAAGUUUUUUAUACUCACGUGUUCUAGCAGCUGUGUCUUUAAGCCAAGUUUUUUUGUUAAAAAAAAAGAACUAAGUGGUGAAACAGUAUAGUAAAAAGGCAAGGAAAAAGUUUUAUUGAGAGGAUUCUUUAGACUCCCGUGUGGUCAGCCACAAUGUUACAAGGGAAUCACUUUAAAAGACUGAUAUAUAUUAAUUUAAGGUCGCCAAGGAAUCAGCUAUGUAAUUCCUAAAUGAAAAACUCAAGUCAGCCGUCAGCCCUUUUUGGAGUUUAAUUACAAUAGGAGCAAGAAAGGAAUUAGAUAUAUAUAUAGAGAGAGAGAAAAGGGGAGAGAAGGGAAUAGGGCUUAAAUACCCCUUCUGUUUAGGCUGGGCCAAAAGGCCCAAGCCCUUAGAUAGCUGGGGCAAAGAAAAGAGAUCAGUCCCUAUUACUCACGUGUCCAAAAUGGAGAAACAGUCUCAGAGGCCCCCACCUCCAGCUUCCUUCAGAGCAAGCUUCCUCAGAGCCCAGGAACCACCGACCAAAAACUCAACCCCCUCCAGUCUCCAGACCCUCCUAUCUUUAAGGACACCAUCCAAGUUGCCUCCCCUCAGUCCUCACAUCUACCAAUCACUCUUCAUCAAUUUCCCUGUCAAUGGAGGCUCUCGCUUAACCCAGGACCGCCCAGAGGUUUCUGGCUUUUUGCACAUGUCUGUUGAAGGUCAUAUUUUCCAAUGAUUAAAUCUAUACUCCUUUGCUACAGCCCUUUCUAAAUCCUGUUAACUUGAGUAUGGUAGAGAUUGGAAUAAUUAAAUUUUGAUCUAGGCUGCAGCCCUUACUCAAUCCUAUUAGGACUGAAUAGGGUGGAGAUUUAUUCCAAGUAUCU
Molecule: long non-coding RNA, 1279 nt
Filed under: Monodelphis domestica (gray short-tailed opossum)
Lineage: Eukaryota; Metazoa; Chordata; Mammalia; Didelphimorphia; Didelphidae
Description: lncRNA (ENSMODG00000043954.1)
Source: RNAcentral